Long non-coding RNA from Apis florea (little honeybee), 851 nucleotides. The record is from RefSeq and is a predicted model, not a curated record. Lineage: Eukaryota; Metazoa; Arthropoda; Insecta; Hymenoptera; Apidae.
CUAUGUAUAAUUGAUUAUUUUAAUGGAAAAUAUUCAUUGCAUGUGAUUAAACCAUGAAUGCCAUAAACAAUAAAAGAGAAUUUAUUAUGUCUUGUACACUCAAAGAAUACUUUAAAAAUAUACAAUUGCUCAUGAUUUUAUCUUUUAUUUAUUCAUUAAUUCAGACAACUCAUUAAAACGAUCGAUGGAUUGCAUGGAUAAUGAAACGGCCGUAUCUUCGUCAUUGUAUUGCAUUUUUUUUCUAUUAUAUGUACAUAAUUCAUUAUUCAUUACGAUCGAAAAAACUGAAGGCCUUAGCAACACUGUUUUUGAACAAUCAAAUUUUAAAAACAAUGUAAAAUUACUUUCCAAACGUUUGAUCAGGCUCGAAAAAGGUUUUUAUAAGAUGAGUGACGGUCAUGCGUACACUGCACGAAUUAUAUCCAGGAAUAGCAAGUGUACAUUUUCCCAUGCAUGUACAUAGGUACGUGUUUUGUCAAAGAAUGAAUAAAUUUCCACUCUGAUUGUGUAAGCUGAGAUAUUAUAAUGCUCCAUCUACAUUGCACGCACGUAAUUCGAAUUCGCUUGGAUUUCGUAACUUUCUAUCCAAAGAAGAAUAACCCAGAAGAAUAAAAAUCAUUGCAAAUCAAUGAUUUCACAGCUACCUACUUUCAAUGCUUUAGAUGCGAUACGAGGGAAGAGACUAUAAUGAUGGAGGGGAGUAUAUAGCAACAUUCUUCAAUACCUUUCCAGAGGGUUUCUGACUAUUCCACUGAGCGAAGUUUAAAGGUACACGACGAGCUAUUGCGAAUCUUAGUGCUCAUAUUGAUCGAGCUUUGAUUAAUAUCAAUCGAUCAAUUGACAUAAAAGUG